RNAcentral lists this unclassified non-coding RNA (161 nucleotides) under uncultured fungus. RNAcentral's name for it is "sequence contains ITS1". Lineage: Eukaryota; Fungi. The record is from RNAcentral.
UUGGGUAGGCUUAGGCCGUAAAUCCCCACCAUUGUGAACGAAGCUUUAGUCGUAGUUGCUUCGGCGGGUGGUAAUACCAAGCUCCUUACGGGGUACCCGCCGGAGGCAAGUAACCUCUUGUUAAUUUAUUGUUAUAUCUGAGUAAACUUUUUAAUAAGUUA